GAAUGGUUAUGUAAGCAUGCCGAGCCUUGCGAUGACGCUCGUAAAUCUUGAUCGCGAACAACAAUUGGCGAAAACAAUUUUGCUCUCGCAGCCUAGUCUGAUCAAAUCAGGUUAAGCUUAUCCAGACACAAGGUGUUUGGACGGGACAUCCCGCAGGUGGAAAUGCCUGAUACCGGCCUGAUCACGGGGUGCUAAUCAAUUUCGGGAUAGCUUUGGCGGAGCUUCGACACCAAAGCGAAAUUCAGAAGAUAAGACAGGGUUUAGGAUGGCUGUUUCCUUGCACUGUACGAAAACCAAUAGCAGCAUAAGCAUGUAGAAAGCUUAGGUAUUCCUUGUUUGGACCAGGGUUCGACUCCCUGCAGCUCCACAU
RNAcentral lists this transfer-messenger RNA (370 nucleotides) under Bacteroidota bacterium. Its description in RNAcentral is "Bacteroidetes bacterium (grounwater metagenome) partial transfer-messenger RNA". It matches the Rfam family "transfer-messenger RNA". From Rfam's summary of the family: Bacterial tmRNA, also known as 10Sa RNA or SsrA, is named for its dual tRNA and mRNA-like properties. Its role is to liberate the mRNA from a stalled ribosome. To accomplish this part of the tmRNA is used as a reading frame that ends in a translation stop signal. The record is from RNAcentral. Lineage: Bacteria; Pseudomonadati; Bacteroidota.